Molecule: ribosomal RNA, 500 nt
Filed under: uncultured Glomeromycotina
Lineage: Eukaryota; Fungi; Glomeromycota
Description: partial small subunit ribosomal RNA
Rfam family: Eukaryotic small subunit ribosomal RNA
Source: RNAcentral
CCAAUAGCGUAUAUUAAAGUUGUUGCAGUUAAAAAGCUCGUAGUUGAAUUUCGGGGUCAGUAGGCUGGUCGUGCCACGGGUAUGCACUGGUCUCACUGAUUCCUCCUUCCUGAUGAACCGUAAUGCCAUUAAUUUGGUGUUGCGGGGAAUCUGGACUGUUACUUUGAAAAAAUUAGAGUGUUUAAAGCAGGCUAACGCUUGAAUACAUUAGCAUGGAAUAAUGAAAUAGGACGAUCGAUCCUAUUUUGUUGGUUUCUAGGAUUGACGUAAUGUUUAAUAGGGAUAGUUGGGGGCAUUAGUAUUCAAUUGUCAGAGGUGAAAUUCUUGGAUUUAUUGAAGACUAACUACUGUGAAAGCAUUUGCCAAGGAUGUUUUCAUUAAUCAAGAACGAAAGUUAGGGGAUCGAAGACGAUCAGAUACCGUCGUAGCCUUAACCAUAAACUAUGCCGACUAGGGAUCGGAUGAUGUUAAUUUUUUAAUGACUCAUUCGGCGCCUUACG